AGUAAGAAAGACAAAGGGAAGAAGAGAAUAAAUGAAUUACUCGAGACACACAAAUCAAUAGGGAGAACAAAUAAGAGAAAUUCUUAACAAACAAGGCUCUGUGAAUGUGUUUAUAAAUUAUCUUCUUAAUAUUGCAAAGAUAAAACUGACCAAGAAUGGGGACAUAAAUUCACUACAAUAAAAUAAGAUAUUAGUGAUAAAAAAAUUCAUCACUAAUAACUGAUUUUCAUCGCUAAUAGUUAUUAGCGAUAAAAAUUUCAUCGCUAAUAUUCAGUCACCAAUAAUACC
RNAcentral lists this long non-coding RNA (288 nucleotides) under Elaeis guineensis (African oil palm). RNAcentral describes it as "long non-coding RNA (EGUI_LNC019185)". Lineage: Eukaryota; Viridiplantae; Streptophyta; Magnoliopsida; Arecales; Arecaceae. The record is from RNAcentral.